Molecule: ribosomal RNA, 512 nt
Filed under: uncultured bacterium
Lineage: Bacteria
Description: bacterial SSU rRNA
Rfam family: Bacterial small subunit ribosomal RNA
Source: RNAcentral
AGAGUUUGAUCCUGGCUCAGGNNNNAUGCUGGCGGCGUGCUUAACACAUGCAAGUCGAACGAGAGGAGAAGAGAAGCUUGCUUCUUUUCAAAUCGAGUGGCAAACGGGUGAGUAACACGUAAACAACCUGCCUUCAGGAUGGGGACAACAGACGGAAACGACUGCUAAUACCGAAUACGCUCAGAGAGCCGCAUGGUUUUCUGAGGAAAGGGUGGCCUCUACCUGUAAGCUAUCGCCUGAAGAGGGGUUUGCGUCUGAUUAGGCAGUUGGUGAGGUAACGGCCCACCAAACCUACGAUCAGUAGCCGGUCUGAGAGGAUGAACGGCCACACUGGAACUGAGACACGGUCCAGACUCCUACGGGAGGCAGCAGUGGGGAAUCUUCCGCAAUGGGCGAAAGCCUGACGGAGCAACGCCGCGUGAGUGAUGACGGCCUUCGGGUUGUAAAGCUCUGUGAUCGGGGGACGAACGGUUCGUGGGACAAUACCCCAUNNAAGUGACGGUACCCGAAUA